Molecule: ribosomal RNA, 360 nt
Filed under: Triticum aestivum (bread wheat)
Lineage: Eukaryota; Viridiplantae; Streptophyta; Magnoliopsida; Poales; Poaceae
Description: partial small subunit ribosomal RNA
Source: RNAcentral
AUGGCGGAUCCGGUGUCCGCUGCUGCCGCUGUAGGAUGGGCCAUGAAGGCCGCUGGGUGGGUCGCCUCGCCCAUCAUCUCCGAGCUUUACAAGAAAGCCUCUUCCCUCCUCAAUUUUGAUGCAUCGCGGAAGCUCAAGGAACUGGAGCCAAAGAUUUUGCUGCUGCAGCGCGUGAUGGAAAUAGUUGAGGAGAGCCCUUACAGGCCUCAUCUAGAGCAGCUGUUCAACGAUCUUAAGUCUGCUUUCUACCAAGCAGAGGACAUCUUGGAUGAUGUUGAGUAUUACCGUCUUGAGAAACAGAUACAAGAUGACUAUCUCAGGUCACAGGUGCCCCGCCUCGACGCAGCAAGAAUCAUGUGA